AUUCAACGUGAAAUGAUUCAUAGCUCUGACUAAAAACAUCAUAAAAGAAAAGCUUUUCCUCAGAGCUCAGAAAAGGUCAAACAGAAGCCACUGGCAAAAAGAAGAACCGAAGGACUCCAGUCAUUUGAAAGCCAGCUGAACGGUCAUCGGGAAAGCAUGCCACUACGCCAUGAGAAUACUCAAGCAGCCCAUGGAGAAGCCUAGAGGGGAUCAUGUGAAGCCUUUUGUCAACAAAUAGCAGCAGGUGAGUGAGUCAUCUUGGAAAGGAUCCUAAGCCCCAUGCAAGCCUUUAGGUGACUGUGGCCCUGGACGACCUCUGGACUAUAACCUCAUGAGAGACCCUGAGACAGAAUCACCCAGCUAACUGCUCCCAAGUUCCUGGCCUA
This 386-nucleotide long non-coding RNA is filed under the name Equus asinus (donkey). RNAcentral describes it as "lncRNA (ENSEASG00005025619.1)". The record is from RNAcentral. Lineage: Eukaryota; Metazoa; Chordata; Mammalia; Perissodactyla; Equidae.